AAUUGCCUGCUCCGUACGUGAUGAUGAAAUAACCCUUGAGCCAACACUUGAAAAAAGGGAACCAAGUUCUGAUGGGGCUGGCAAGUUCACCAUUAGGGUGAAAGGUCAAAGCCGUUAGAGAAGGUGCCCACCUUUUAAAUGGGUCUCAAAGGGUAUAAUCAUUGCGGCGGAGCGGGUAUAGU
Molecule: non-coding RNA, 182 nt
Filed under: Elusimicrobiota bacterium
Lineage: Bacteria; Pseudomonadati; Elusimicrobiota
Also listed under: 1 other name
Description: Elusimicrobia bacterium (anaerobic digester metagenome) 6S RNA
Rfam family: 6S / SsrS RNA
About the family: E. coli 6S RNA was the first non coding RNA to be sequenced, but its function was unknown until recently.
Source: RNAcentral